AGUGAACGCUGGCGGUAGGCCUAACACAUGCAAGCCGAACGGCAGCACAGUAAGAGCUUGCUCUUACGGGUGGCGAGUGGCGGACGGGUGAGGAAUACAUCGGAAUCUACUUUUUCGUGGGGGAUAACGUAGGGACACUUACGCUAAUACCGCAUACGACCUACGGGUGAAAGCAGGGGAUCUUCGGCCCUUGCGCGAGUGAAUGAGCCGAUGUCGGAUUAGCUAGUUGGCGGGGUAAAGGCCCACCAAGGCGACGAUCCGUAGCUGGUCUGAGAGGAUGAUCAGCCACACUGGAACUGAGACACGGUCCAGACUCCUACGGGAGGCAGCAGUGGGGAAUAUUGGACAAUGGGCGCAAGCCUGAUCCAGCCAUACCGCGUGGGUGAAGAAGGCCUUCGGGUUGUAAAGCCCUUUUGUUGGGAAAGAAAAGCAGCAGGUUAAUACCCCGCUGUUCUGACGGUACCCAAAGAAUAAGCACCGGCUAACUUCGUG
RNAcentral lists this ribosomal RNA (492 nucleotides) under uncultured bacterium. Its description in RNAcentral is "partial 16S ribosomal RNA". It matches the Rfam family "Bacterial small subunit ribosomal RNA", at positions 29 to 507 of the family's 1533-position model. The record is from RNAcentral.